RNAcentral lists this ribosomal RNA (445 nucleotides) under uncultured bacterium. RNAcentral describes it as "bacterial SSU rRNA". It matches the Rfam family "Bacterial small subunit ribosomal RNA", at positions 330 to 792 of the family's 1533-position model. The record is from RNAcentral.
CCCAGACUCCUACGGGAGGCAGCAGUGGGGAAUAUUGCACAAUGGGGGGAACCCUGAUGCAGCGACGCCGCGUGGGUGAAGGAGUACUUCGGUACGUAAAGCCCUAUCAGCAGGAAAGAAAAUGACGGUACCUGACUAAGAAGCCCCGGCUAACUACGUGCCAGCAGCCGCGGUAAUACGUAGGGGGCAAGCGUUAUCCGGAUUUACUGGGUGUAAAGGGAGCGUAGACGGCAGUGCAAGUCCGGAGUGAAAGCCCGGGGCUCAACCCUGGGACUGCUCUGGAAACUGUAAAGCUGGAGUGCGGGAGGGGCAGGCGGAAUUCCUGGUGUAGCGGUGAAAUGCGUAGAUAUCACGCAGAACUCCGAUUGCGAAGGCAGCGUACCGGCGCCCAACUGACGCUGAAGCACGAAGGCGUGGGUAUCGAACAGGAUUAGAUACCCCUGUA